This is a long non-coding RNA of Mobula hypostoma (lesser devil ray), 1157 nucleotides long. RefSeq lists it as uncharacterized. The transcript is spliced from 4 exons. The record is from RefSeq and is a predicted model, not a curated record. Lineage: Eukaryota; Metazoa; Chordata; Chondrichthyes; Myliobatiformes; Myliobatidae.
GGUCAUUGAUGAAGCAACUGAAGAUGAUUGAGUCUAGGAUACUGCUCUGAUCAUCCUGCGGUGAUGUCCUGGAGCUGGGAUGAUUUACCUCCAACAACCGCAGCCACUAUCCUUUGUUGGAGGUGACAGGCGGGGAUUGGGCACAUCCACUCACCUGCCCGAAGUAGAAUGACUUGAUCGUCGAGAGGGAGGUCGGAGAAGUGAGGAAUCCUCUUGGCCCAUUCCACCAGCGUGAAGAGCUGCUUGUCUGCCGCUUGACAAAUAUUGUAUGCAUUACAGAUGAGCAGAUUCAACACUGCUGAGACUUUCAUCCAAAGACCAGAGACCUUCAGUUUUUGAGAGCAGUCUUUAUCUAAAGAGAAGAUGGCGGUGCGAUGCAGCGCGUGUGGCUGUUCUGAAUGAUAUCGAUAUGUGUAACUAGGGGUGCGGUGCACGAUCCGGAUUUGAUGGAGACAGCUGUGAGAAGCGCAGAGGAACAUCUGGAGUAACUUCUGAAAUGCCUGCUUCGCUGCCGCUGCUACUGUGCGAUCAAGAAUCCCUGGAGACGAAGGCCCCAAAUCCUCAGCUUUGCGUAUCACCUGUUGCCGGGGCUGGGGUCGAAACGCUCAGCAGAGAUAGUGCUCGGUGUCAAAGAGGUGGGUCAGAGGCUUGGAGUUUUCGGACGGACUCGGAAUCGGACUGUGGUCGGAUGCUUUCGGGAUGCUGCAUCGGCAAGUUGGCGGCGCUGGAGGUUUACCGUCUGCAGACUUCCGAGAGACUUUGAGAUUUUUACUGUGCCAUGGUCUGUUCUUAUCAAAUUACAGUAUUGCUUUGCACUGUUGUAACUAUAUUAUAAUUAUGUGGUUUUUGUUAGUUUUUAAGUUGGUUUGUCAUGUGUUUCUGUGAUCAUUCUGGAAGAACAUUUUAUCAUUUCUUAAUGCGUUCAUUAUUAAAUGCCAAUAAAAGAGGACUGCGUGUCCUUAUAAUUAUAAUUCCAGUACUGGUAGCUCUUUGUGCUGCUGCUUAUCUCCUUCCAGAAGCUCUCUCCAAAUUUCACCUUUUUUGUAUGUCUGCCUCCAUCAAUCACCCAACUGCAUUUGCCUCACAAUUCCUCACCUCCCCUCACCUUACUUGAUUCCCAUCUCCCUGUCUACCUUCACCUCUUUUCAAUCAUUCAC